AUCUGAAAGGCUCAUCUAAGACAGGUGGUGCUCCAGCUGCUAAGAGCUUGUAAAAACAACAGGACCAUCAGAAAUGGUCAGCUUCAGACGCAGCAGGAGUUGGAGCCUAACCCGCAUCCAUCGCAGGCGUCGACGCAGGAAGGGGCGUGGGGGCAAAUCUGGAAGGAGGCGUGGAAGACGACGUGGCAGAAGGAGAGGACGUAAAUCAUCCGGGCGCAGAAGAGGGAGGAGAAGGAGGAAGCACUAAGAUUUCUCUCCUCAUCGCGGCCUUCACGGUGCUUCAGUUUCUGCCAAAGGGAAAAAAAUCAAGCCUCUUUCUUUCACUGAAACACGCUGCAAAAGAAUUUCCAAGGACCAGAUAGCCUGAAACAAUUUGGAACAUACCACCUGUCAAUAAAGGCUAACAUUUCA
Pantherophis guttatus is the source of this 411-nucleotide long non-coding RNA. RefSeq lists it as uncharacterized. Lineage: Eukaryota; Metazoa; Chordata; Lepidosauria; Squamata; Colubridae. The record is from RefSeq and is a predicted model, not a curated record.